Molecule: ribosomal RNA, 468 nt
Filed under: uncultured bacterium
Lineage: Bacteria
Description: partial 16S ribosomal RNA
Rfam family: Bacterial small subunit ribosomal RNA
Source: RNAcentral
GGGGGGGGCGGGGGGGGGGCGGGGCGGGGGCGAGUCGGGCGGAAGGGCCCGGCUUUUGUGGGGUGCGCGAGUGGCGAACGGGUGAGUAACACGUGAGUAACCUGCCCUUGACUUUGGGAUAACUUCAGGAAACUGGGGCUAAUACCGGAUAGGAGCUCCUGCUGCAUGGUGGGGGUUGGAAAGUUUCGGCGGUUGGGGAUGGACUCGCGGCUUCUCAGCUUGUUGGUGGGGUAGUGGCUUACCAAGGCUUUGACGGGUAGCCGGCCUGAGAGGGUGACCGGCCACAUUGGGACUGAGAUACGGCCCAGACUCCUACGGGAGGCAGCAGUGGGGAAUAUUGCACAAUGGGCGGAAGCCUGAUGCAGCAACGCCGCGUGCGGGAUGACGGCCUUCGGGUUGUAAACCGCUUUCGCCUGUGACGAAGCGUGAGUGACGGUAAUGGGUAAAGAAGCACCGGCUAACUACGUG